This 305-nucleotide ribosomal RNA is filed under the name uncultured bacterium. RNAcentral's name for it is "bacterial SSU rRNA". It matches the Rfam family "Bacterial small subunit ribosomal RNA", at positions 333 to 635 of the family's 1533-position model. The record is from RNAcentral.
UGAUCCCUACGGGGCGCAGCAGUGAGGAAUAUUGGUCAAUGGGCUUACGCCUGAACCAGCCAAGUCGCGUGAGGGAAGACUGCCCUAUGGGUUGUAAACCUCUUUUGUCAGGGAGCAAUUGGCGCUACGUGUAGCGUUAUCGAGAGUACCUGAAGAAAAAGCAUCGGCUAACUCCGUGCCAGCAGCCGCGGUAAUACGGAGGAUGCGAGCGUUAUCCGGAUUUAUUGGGUUUAAAGGGUGCGUAGGCGGUCCGUUAAGUCAGCGGUAAAAUUGCGGGGCUCAACCCCGUCGAGCCGUUGAAACUG